RNAcentral lists this ribosomal RNA (429 nucleotides) under uncultured Pelagibacterales bacterium. RNAcentral describes it as "bacterial SSU rRNA". It matches the Rfam family "Bacterial small subunit ribosomal RNA", at positions 44 to 519 of the family's 1533-position model. Lineage: Bacteria; Pseudomonadati; Pseudomonadota; Alphaproteobacteria; Candidatus Pelagibacterales. The record is from RNAcentral.
ACGCCUAACACAUGCAAGUCGAACGCAGUAGCAAUACUGAGUGGCAAACGGGUGAGUAUAAUGUGGGAAUCUGCCUUUUGGUUUGGAAUAACACGGGGAAACUUGUGCUAAUACCGAAUAAGCCCUUACGGGGAAAGUUUUAAUGCCGAAAGAUGAGCCCGCACUUGAUUAGCUAGUUGGUAAGGUAAAAGCUUACCAAGGCAACGAUCAAUAGCUGUUCUUAGAGGAAGACCAGCCACAUUGGGACUGAGACACGGCCCAGACUCCUACGGGAGGCAGCAGUGGGGAAUCUUGCACAAUGGGGGAAACCCUGAUGCAGCGAUGCCGCGUGAGUGAAGAAGGCCCUUGGGUUGUAAAACUCUUUCGUCGGGGAAGAAAAUGACUGUACCCGAAUAAGAAGGUCCGGCUAACUUCGUGCCAGCAGCCGCG